GUCUCUUCGGGGAUGAUUAACCGGCGCACGGGUGAGUAACACGUGAGUGACCUGCCUUUUAGACUGGAACAACUUACCGAAAGGUGAGCUAAUGCCGGAUGAGUUAUAUAAGUGCAUGUUUAUAUAGGAAAAGUUGGGGAGACCUGACGCUGAAAGAUGGACUCGCGUCCCAUUAGCUAGUUGGUAGGGUAAUGGCCUACCGAGGCGACGAUGGGUAGCCGGCCUGAGAGGGUGGCCGGCCACACUGGGACUGAGACACGGCCCAGACUCCUACGGGAGGCAGCAGUGGGGAAUUUUGCGCAAUGCUCGUAAGAGUGACGCAGCGACGCCGCGUGAAUGACGAAGGCCUUCGGGUCGUAAAGUUCUUUCGACAGGGAAGAAAAUGCCUAUAAGUAACUGUGUAUGUAUUGACGGUACCUGUAUAAGCAGCCCCGGCUAACUCCGUGCCAGCAGCCGCGGUAAUACGGAGGGGGCGAGCGUUGUUCGGAGUGACUGGGCGUAAAGAGCACGUAGGCGGUGUUGUAAGUCAUUAGUCAAAGACUAGAGCUCAACUUUAGUAAGGCUAGUGAUACUAUAAUACUAGAGUAUCAGAGAGGAUUGCAG
RNAcentral lists this ribosomal RNA (603 nucleotides) under uncultured bacterium. RNAcentral describes it as "bacterial SSU rRNA". It matches the Rfam family "Bacterial small subunit ribosomal RNA", at positions 74 to 664 of the family's 1533-position model. The record is from RNAcentral.